This 301-nucleotide ribosomal RNA is filed under the name uncultured bacterium. RNAcentral describes it as "partial 16S ribosomal RNA". It matches the Rfam family "Bacterial small subunit ribosomal RNA", at positions 509 to 807 of the family's 1533-position model. The record is from RNAcentral.
CAGCAGCCGCGGUAAUACAGAGGGUGCGAGCGUUAAUCGGAUUUACUGGGCGUAAAGCGUGCGUAGGCGGCUUCUUAAGUCGGAUGUGAAAUCCCUGAGCUUAACUUAGGAAUUGCAUUCGAUACUGGGAAGCUAGAGUAUGGGAGAGGAUGGUAGAAUUCCAGGUGUAGCGGUGAAAUGCGUAGAGAUCUGGAGGAAUACCGAUGGCGAAGGCAGUUAUCUGGCCUAAUACUGACGCUGAGGUACGAAAGCAUGGGGAGCAAACAGGAUUAGAUACCCCCGUAGUCCCUGUCUCUUAUAC